GCGCCGCGGCCCAGGGGCCUCGCGCGGAGGAGGCGGCGGCGGCGGCCGCUGCUGCGCGGUCUUGGCUCCGGGCCGGGCCGGGCUGAGGCGCCGCGCCCUGAGGCGGCCUCUUUGGGUGCGAAAUGCUGAGGACGCUGCAUGUGCUAAUAUGUGAAUGGCUUAAUGAAGCAGCGUGACCAUCUCAUGCAGUAUAGGAGGAUGUAGUGCGGUUACAUUUAUCGUUUCUAUGCUACUGAUCUAUCUUGGAUAUCUGGACUUUUCCCUUGAUAAUCACUGUUACUCACCAGUCUUUUUUAAACAGAAAUCUUCAGUUCUCAGGUUAACCGGUGUUAUGACAGGAUAAGUUCUCACAGUAUUGCUCAGAACAGAAUGUUUUUAUAAGAGUAGCUGGCAUCCACAUUCUCUAAUUUAGCAGUAGAGAAACCCACACAGGUGGUGUUUCCUUUCCUGGUACCUGUUGACUACCUGCUUACCUUUUGAACCUGGGUCAGAUUAUAAAAGUCUCAGCUCUCUAGUCACAGAAAAUAUUUACUGGUUUGUUAAAAAUAACUACAUCUGCUGCUGUGAAGCCAAGAUCUGUUACAGAAUUCUGUCA
Chiroxiphia lanceolata (lance-tailed manakin) is the source of this 595-nucleotide long non-coding RNA. RefSeq lists it as uncharacterized. Lineage: Eukaryota; Metazoa; Chordata; Aves; Passeriformes; Pipridae. The transcript is spliced from 2 exons. The record is from RefSeq and is a predicted model, not a curated record.